GUCUGUCUGUCCGUCCGUCGCUCUGGCUAUAGGAGCUGUUGAGACGGCUAACGAUGCUGCUGCUUCUAGCCGUAGUGCUGAUGGAAGAGGGAGCGGCAGCGGCGGCGGCAGCGGGCGGGUGGACUGCUAUUGCGUUAGGCUGAAGCUAUGCGAACUGGCGAAUGGCGGCUGCUGUUCUCUCUGCUUCUCUAUGUCUUCUCGCCGGACUCGUGUGUGCUGACUGCUGCCCCUCGUUACCGGCUGCUACCGUCAUCUGCUGGCAACAGCAAGAACCAGGAACCGCCGCCGGGUUGCCGGCCGUAGCAAGAAUCAACAAGAAGGUUAGGACACGGCGGCUGGCAGCCGGCCCGCCACUACAGCAGCAGAAGUAGCGAUGGCGUCGGCGCGCUGGCUGCUACAGAGAGAAAACGAACGACGGGCAAAUAGGAGGGCAAGCAAAGGACGAACGAACAGCGCAGCAACGACUUUAUACUUCCGCCAUCAGCUGUGGCAGUAGCGGCAGCAGCAGCAAACAGUCAGAACAGCAGAACUGACAGCAAAAGCUCUGAUGAUACGCAAGAUUACUGUGGCGGAGUGUUGACGGCCCUCGUGUAGUCGGCAGUGGCCGUGGCGGCGAGAAGCUCGCCAGCGGCAGCGGAGGUCCUCGCCGUUAGCGGACACCGUGCCGCCAAGCAGAGCUGUCACCAAAGCCACCAUUUGAGCCGCAAACCUACAACGGCGAAGUCGGGCUUUGGUCGCCGAUGGGACGACGGCGGCAGUAGCGACGGGCCUGCACGGAGAGGAGUGCCUGCGCACGCGGUCACACGACCAAGUACACAGUCAUAUUGGGAGCAAGGCUACACACGCUGCGUACCUAAUGGAGGCUAAGACCCCAAGGCAACCUACCCGUGGACAGGGACAUAGGCCUCUGCGCACUUAGGAACUGGCACAUGGCCAUGAGUGGCCAUGCCACGCUGUGCUCAAGGAGGUGCAUGUACAUGUGACAUUUCGAUGUUGCCAACGUUCACUUAAGCAAACAGACGGGACAAACACAGAAAAAAGAGAGACAAGAUGGGAAGUACACAGCAGCGGGUUACGGCGGGCCCCACUGGGCACCCCUUACGCCCUGUAUAUUUCUGCAUGAGUCUAUGUACUCGACCAAGUAUGAGUGUGAGUUUACGUGUGAAUGGACCGUGCUGACUAAGCGUAGCCUUCGGUUCGGUCGUCUCUGACUGGAUGUAUGGCUUAGUGUGUGUACAUGAAUGCAUGUGUGUAGAUAGAAGACGAGGGGGAUGUGCCAGUAGCAAUUAGAACUAACAGCACUGGGCCGCUGUGGUCGCAUGGUUGCAGCUGCUGUUAUUGAUGCUGCUAUCACGGUGUAAGUUCCCGAAUCCCUCAUCCUUUCUCUUAUUGGGCUCCCGUCGCCUUGCCCUCAGUCACUUCCAACGUUCGCUUGGCACUCUCACAGGGACGUUUCUCUGGAACAGCAAAUAACUGCCUAACGCAAUUGGACUGGAUCUCUACGUCUUUACGGUUUUUUUUUCUCACACGAGUCCUUGCUAAUGAAUUCUGGGAUUAAUGACGAAGCAUCUUUCCCCGGCAAUACCUCCUCUCUGGCAAGCGUACGCAUCCCCCUAAACCUCCAGCACCCCUAUGGCGAGCCUGAACCUACUGCAUCAUCAACCAUAGCCACACAAUGCCUGUCGAUGGCGGAAAUAGCAAAGAAGCAGCACUACUAAUCCGGUACUAGCCACAGUAGAACGGUACAACUCCAGGUAAGCAUCUGGACAGCCUGCAAAUCAAGUGCACAGGGAGGGAAGGCACUAGCUAUAGGCAACAAAGGAAAAGUCAGGGCGUUGCUUAGUAAACUACCAAACAAGCUCAGUUGCCGCCACUUCACUCACUGGCGAGAGGCACUCGUUUGGCAAGUCCACUGCAUGCUCCUACAUAUUGUCAUUGCAGCAUCCACACAUAUAAGCACGCGUCAGCAGGGUCUAAGUGUACAGAAGACCGUGCAUUUCUCGCGUGCUGCUAUGGCCGUUGUCGCGAAACCUCCCUAAAGGAUUGUCCGCUGUGUCAUGGAGCAAAACAGACCAGCCAUACAAUGACAUUGUGGCCUGUAAACCGUUGAUAUCUCCCUAGUUGAAUCACCGGUGCGCUAUCAUCGUAACAGUAGCAGUAACAGCAGCGAGUGUUGCUGUCGCAGCUGACGCUUCAGUGAAUGAAGAACGCAGAAUGAAUUAACGCGCUAAAGAAUUCGCCCCUAUGAUGAUACUUGUGAGGAGAAAAGGAAAACGAACCAGAGAUGAAUGAACUAGUUGUGCGUUGACGUAUCCGAAGAAGCUGAUGCUUCUCAGACACAUCACCCUCGGAAGUGCCUCAGGCUGUAGUAAGUGUGCUUGCUUUGGAUUUGUAUUGGUAGAUGGUGUACAUAUUCAAGAUUGUUUCAAGUAAUGAAAAAUGUGUCGCGAAAUGAUCGUACGAUGCCUUAGUAAGCUAGGUAUUUAUCCCUGCUUCGAAUUAUCCUUGUUAUCGCGUUACAGGUAGGAGACAUAACAAUAAACAGCCAGAUGCUAUAUGUCAACCUGGGACUGGCAAUCAAGUACACUUUAUAAUAUAUUAAGCUGGAGUAAAAAUCUGUCUCAUUGUGAAAGAAUGUGAGAAAAAUAUGGCGCAAGAUAUGGCUCGAAUUGUCAGUCGCUACUUCACGUUAGACUACGAAGUAAAACCAUGUGCAAUGUUUUGUUAUCCAUCUGACCAAAGCUCAUUAAGGAAGAUUAUUCAAUCUCUAUGGAUGCACUUUCACAGAAACAAAGUGCUCCAUCAUGAUGCGCAGAAGGCCUCCCUAAAAUCUAAAAAAUCCAAAAAUCUAGUCUUACAUGGUGGACGCUCCAGUGGUUUUGAUCUUCCUGAUUCCUCUUUGCAAGUAGCUCCUCUAAAUCAUCGAUCAAUUUUAGAGAUUUAGAGGAUCGGCCAAUAGUUUCUCCUCUCAUAUGUAGACUUGUACGAAACUCUCCGAUAACAUUCAUAAAAUGAUGGUUUCUCGCCACUUAUAUCCAUAUUCGUGUCUGUACUCACAGCUAUAUUAUACGUAUUUUUUUUCCUGGGACUCACAAUUUGUUCCCUCGUUUUUUAAUGAACCCAACGCCAUUAUUAUAUCCUACAGUAAAACUACGCUACCGCUAAAUGGGAGGAGGAUGGAAACAAUUAGAAAUCUCCGAUACAGAAAGUCACGUUACUUUUUAGUGUUUAAUUCACCGGAGCGGGCAUGGAAUUAACUACUUUAGUUGCUGUUUCAGAAAAGAUGACGCCAGACGUAAAGGGUAGCAAGUACAUGAAGAACUGAUACCUUACUAAGCGGUGUACAUAAGUUGAGUCAACGCAAUCUAUCUUCGUUUUUCAGUAACUUUUAUUGACACUUCUCAUAUAGCACCUUUGUCUUAGCUGUAGGCAUAUAUAAGUUGAAGACGAAACAAUCUUUGCAUUGACCUACAUAUGCCUAUCUACACGUCAGCCGAAUUGCUUAUACGAAACUAGGUUUCAGUUUGCGUGGAGAUUGGAAACCUGUUACUAACUGGAUAAACACCGCGUACUUUAAACGUGCUCAACAAGCUGAGAGAUAGUGGCCCAAAUAAACCGAGAAGAAUGCAUUUCUAAUUGUAAAAACGUACAUGUGCAGAAAAACACAUGAACAAAUGUUAACAUAGUAACUGUAGCGUGCACGUUCGAAAUAAAAAAAAAUUUAUUUGAUCAUUUCAGAAUUCAGACCAUUACUACUUACAAUAUUUUGUUUAUUGUAAAUGUAAGAUUUACUGAAUUAAGACGAGGGGCCCAACAAUUUAGGUUUGAAUUAAAAACAGACUACAUUCUGAACCAUAUGCGUCGCAUGUUCAGCUGAUAAAUGUUUACUUACGGAUGACCAUGCAGGUAAAAAAAUGCUGAGCGAAGUCCCACACUACCGUGGAAAAUACGUAGAUGUGAGGCCAUAAACAGAAUCCGCGCAUUUUUCUCCUGAGAAAGACAGGUUUGACUAAAUACGCACAUUUCUAGGUGUAGUUGAAUUUGAUGUAAUGCGCAUAGACUCGCAGAUAAACUACCGAUUCCGAGAAUCCAUGAGUGCAAACAUGCAUUAUAUUUUGAAUAGUUGUAUAUAAAGGUGCUUGUUGUUAUUGGAAACGGUCUAUUAAUGAGAUAUUUAAAGUAAUUCAGAUGCAAACUGUAAGACCUCAGUAUGCUUGUACGGUUCAAAGAAAGCUCGAGGUUCUGGUGAGCACCAUUGCUACUUCUUGAAUAUCUAUUGAUAAAACGGCUUCCUUAAUUAAAUUAUGCGAUUGCACAGUAAAAAAUAUUCGACGAUAAGUUUAAUCACAUAUUGUGCUAUGACAAAUCUACAGAACGAAACAGUAAUUGCGACAAGCUUUGCUUGGCUGUUUGUCGUAGCGGGCAAACGUUUUUCUUGGUAAUAGAACAGAGCCAAUUUCUACAAAAACAACAUGUUCAUCGUGAAGAAAAAUUGUUUCCUUAUCAGCUUAUCGACUAUCAUCCAGUCUACUUUCCGCGCUGGACGAUUCUCCGCCAGAACUAAAAACCGAAAAACUCCAAACCGUUUUUACUUAAAUAUAUAAUGAAUAUUGGAGUUAGAUUUAUAGAUAUACCUAGUCAGACUGAGGCUUAAGGCAACGUCUAUGAGUCUGGACAAUGUGAUACCGCUGGUAUUGAAAUGCUUUUGAGUAUUCUACAACCAGUCACAUAGCACUUUGUAGUAUUAGAUUUCAGUUUCCUUUUACUUAUAUAAUAACAUGUUCUUUCUGAUUUUUUUCAAGCAAUGACAUGAAACGCUAAGGAGGACGUCAUUCACUAGAAGUCCUGCAUAUAGUCUAGACAUGUUUUCUUCGACACGAAAUUGGUUUAAUUUGAAAAUCCAUCAAUGCGUUCUGUUUGAAAUUAAAUCACUUCCAAACUAAAAGAAGUAAUCUCUAAGUUAGAUCGUUUCAAACCAAAUUGGGCAAAGCUUUUUAAUUAGUGUAGACAGUUCUCGUAUCAAAUUGGACUUUUUGGGCUUUAUAAUUCGGUUGUGAGAUAUCGGAUGUAGUUCAUCUCAGCAGCAUCAACUUUUUGGGAAUAAUAAGUCUUCUAACUAGACUUGAAGCUUAAAAUAAGAAGAGCAAAAAUUGAAGAACCCAUGCCUUUCUUUCAUUUGGUCGACUGAGUUACUUUCAGUAUAUACUUUUGCUCUUAACCUUGAUUGUUUAAGACACCUUCUAAACAUAUAUAUAAAUAUAUAUAAUGUCGACAUAAAGGAUUAAUUCAGAAUCUUCACUGGUAGGUUAGCAUAAAUACGGCACAGAAAAUGGACCGAAAUUAUAAUCUAUCAAAGCCAUUUGGACCCAAGAAAUCGUUUGCACUAGUCAGGCAUCGUUCGCAACAUGACAAAAAAAAAGACUUCUCACCUGUUACUAUUGGUCUUCAAUUCUUCAUAACAAAACAAAAUGGUUCGUCUGAACCAUUAAAAACAACUAUCACAGCAAUAAAAAGUAAGUUAAUAAAAACUCAGCAAAAGUCUGCAACUCGAUGACGGCUUUUGUCUCAAACACGCUACUUUAGAAUAAGCAAAAUGCCCAAAUGAAGUCAUGAAACAAAGAUAAUAUAGAGUCUUCGUAAUAACAUUCAUAUUUUAUUUUCGGUUAUUUUCAUUGGCGCGGUACGGUAUAUAAGUCAAUACGGGCAAGGCUAGCAACUUAUUAAACCCCUAGUAUUGCUUCGUUCACAGGCUCAGUCAAUCAGCGUAGAUGCCCAUCGAUACCUUUCGUUUUCGUUUUUCCGAAUACAGUUUCAAUGCCGUUAUCGUAGUCAAACUACGCCUUAGGUGCGUUGCCACGGUAACCAUGAUCAUGUGGCCAGAGCUGGUUCAAAUCUUGGCAUUUCCGUAUUUAGUAAGUUCGAUGGAGAAAAAAUCGAUGGAGAAAGGAACAACAAGACAAGUCUCAAGUUAUGUCUAAUAGCUUGAGUACUAAUUAUAAAAAAGGCCGUGAUCGGUGCUAGAUGUAUCUAGUAGACACGUUCAAGUUUAAGUGAUCAAUCUGAAGUCUUUGAGCGGCAUGAGCAACCAUUAAAGGCAACUGGGUCAGUCAGCUCAUGUGAAGUGCGUCUAACAGUUAUACGUACAAAAUGUACGAUAUUUAAUUAGUUAGAACGGAAGUUAGUAAAUUAGAACGGAAAGAAUAUAAUUCAUUAAUAAGGCCGCCUGAUCCUACUGAAAUUAUCGUUCCAGUUCAGCAUUUACUUGGAAGACGAACGAGCGGUAAGUAAGUUUUCUAACGUAAAGUUGACUCACCAUCUUCGGAAUGAUUUUUCGGAGGUUCCAGUAAUGAGGGUCUUGAGCUGCAAAGACCCUUAUCAAGACACACACUUAGGAAACUCAUCUGUUUCAUAAAUGUUUCAGUAAAAA
Varroa destructor (honeybee mite) is the source of this 6427-nucleotide long non-coding RNA. RefSeq lists it as uncharacterized. The record is from RefSeq and is a predicted model, not a curated record. Lineage: Eukaryota; Metazoa; Arthropoda; Arachnida; Mesostigmata; Varroidae.